This 497-nucleotide ribosomal RNA is filed under the name uncultured bacterium. RNAcentral's name for it is "partial 16S ribosomal RNA". It matches the Rfam family "Bacterial small subunit ribosomal RNA", at positions 28 to 507 of the family's 1533-position model. The record is from RNAcentral.
GAUGAACGCUGGCGGCGUGCCUAAUACAUGCAAGUCGAGCGAACGGACGAGAAGCUUGCUUCUCUGAUGUUAGCGGCGGACGGGUGAGUAACACGUGGAUAACCUACCUAUAAGACUGGGAUAACUUCGGGAAACCGGAGCUAAUACCGGAUAAUAUUUUGAACCGCAUGGUUCAAAAGUGAAAGACGGUCCUGCUGUCACUUAUAGAUGGAUCCGCGCUGCAUUAGCUGGUUGGUAAGGUAACGGCUUACCAAGGCAACGAUGCAUAGCCGACCUGAGAGGGUGAUCGGCCACACUGGAACUGAGACACGGUCCAGACUCCUACGGGAGGCAGCAGUAGGGAAUCUUCCGCAAUGGGCGAAAGCCUGACGGAGCAACGCCGCGUGAGUGAUGAAGGUCUUCGGAUCGUAAAACUCUGUUAUUAGGGAAGAACAUAUGUGUAAGUAACUGUGCACAUCUUGACGGUACCUAAUCAGAAAGCCACGGCUAACUACGUG